CCAUUGCUGUCAAAUCGUUCGAAGAUGAAGACGUUGGCGGAGUGGUCCCUGAAGGAGAAGAUCAGGGGAUGGAGACGUAGAUGUCGUCCAUCUCCGAGAAGAUCGUCCUCUAAUUUUUUCUCCUUCGAUUGUCACCGGUAGUCAACCUCCCCUCCUCUUCUUCUUCUCCCAUGACAGCCGUGGCAGCCACUACAUCUCUUCUUCUUAUUUUCUUUGAUGUGUCUCCCUUGUCUAUCCCUAACUUCAAAAUAUCUAUUACCACUGUUAACCAAAGCACGGCCACACUAGCCCACCAUUCGUAGCCUCGAUGGUGGGCGAUAGAUGGGUCCAUCAUCAACGAUGAAUUGUUGAGGGCCUUCAGUAGGGUUGCUAAUCCAGGCUCAUCUCCAACAAGGAUAGUCUCUCGAUGCUGCACCAACAGAUCAUCAUCGUCACUGCAGGACGGCAGGGGGGUGAGUAGUGCUGGAGAUGGGCUGAUGGUUGGUGUUGUUCGGGGCUCGAUCAAAAAUUAGAAAUUAGGAC
RNAcentral lists this long non-coding RNA (522 nucleotides) under Elaeis guineensis (African oil palm). Its description in RNAcentral is "long non-coding RNA (EGUI_LNC026218)". The record is from RNAcentral. Lineage: Eukaryota; Viridiplantae; Streptophyta; Magnoliopsida; Arecales; Arecaceae.